Molecule: non-coding RNA, 72 nt
Organism: Budorcas taxicolor (takin)
Lineage: Eukaryota; Metazoa; Chordata; Mammalia; Artiodactyla; Bovidae
Source: the annotation of a RefSeq genome assembly
UCCCUGACAGUCCAGUGGUUAAGACUUGGCACUUUCAUUGCCACGGCCCAAGUUCAAUCCCUGGUCAGGGAA